Non-coding RNA from Ictidomys tridecemlineatus (thirteen-lined ground squirrel), 5251 nucleotides. The record is from RefSeq and is a predicted model, not a curated record. NCBI's taxonomy places the organism in Eukaryota, Metazoa, Chordata, Mammalia, Rodentia, Sciuridae.
UGGUCUGUCCUUCCUCUGAGUUCUAGUUGGGGUUCAGCCAUUCUGGGGGAACUGGAGCAUCAGCCUAAAGGAACCCAGAAAAGUCUUCAGGUGGUGUGCACUCUUCUGUCAGUUCUGGCGCUCCCUCUCUGCCAUCAAAUCAAAUGGCAGUUCCAAGGACCUGAAUAGUUGGAAUCCCACUGGGACCUCUGGAAAAUGGUAUGGCAGUUACACUUAACAAGAGACCAAGCAUCACUCAGAGGGUUGGAGAAUCUGGGUUUUUUAUACUGGCAGACCCAGAUGAGGUGGUGCUCUGAAGAUCUGGGCCCUGAGCUGAGGUAACAUGGGGCUUUUAUAGGAAAUUUGACAUCAUUUCUUAACCAUUACAACAUUGGUGGGCUUGGGUUCUUGGUCUACAUGACCAAAGACCAUGCACAGGGAAUUUACGAUAAGUAGUUCCCAGGUGUAGAACAAAGACAUUAAACACCUGUGUCACUGUGAAAUGGCCUUCACCAUAGGGAGCAAUAACUCAAGAUGACUUGAGUUCAUCUCCCUAACAGCUAAAGUUCUAAGAAUUAAAUCAAUAAGAUUUUAGUUUAGUCAGCAGUUAAGUGGCAUAGUAAUGUAUAAUUUAUACUAGCAGUUAAGUGGUGUAGCUAUAUUCCUACAGAGUUUAGAAAGGUACAAAGUAUAGUAAAAUCAACCCUUUCCAUAGGCUUUGGUUUUUCAUCAUUGUUCUUAUAUCUUCAUUUUAUAAUCAAGUCUGGUAUCUGUCACACCACCUUUCAAUUUUGCUUUUCCUUUACUGCCUCCUUUUUGUGUUGUGAGGAGACCAGGAAUCACUGCCAAGCUCCUUUCAGUCAUCUUCUCCAUUUAUUUAAGGCUGUGAAGUCUUCACAACUGGUGCAGCAUUGUCUCCUAAAAACAAUCAUGUAAUCUUGGAACGGGAUUCUUCCCACUGAGAUAUCAGGAAGACUUGGUCUCUGCCAUUAUCUACAUCUGGAUUCUUGACAUGAGGAACUCCAAAUUGCUGUGAUCACUACCUCUGGCACAAUUUUGAGUAGAAGUGGGCCUUGCUGAGAAUCUCACUGAGUUGCUGAGUCUGGCAUCAAAAUUGUGAUCCUUCUGCUUCAGCCUCCUGAGUUACUGUAAUUACAGAUGAAAGGUAAAUGGAGUUGGUCAACUUACAUGAAAUUAUAUUUUAGAAUAUUUUCUCAGUAAUUGAUAAUAUGGCAGAUGAGACAUCAUAAAGCCUAGAAUCAUGAGAAAUGGUCAGUCACAGAGAAAGUGAAGUAUUCCAUCAAUCCUACCAGAAGUGGUUUCUAUAGAUUGGAAAGAAACAAGCCUCUCAAGAAAUGCCCAAUCACCAGUGAUUCUGAUUAACAGAAAGAAUGAUAAGAUGGGCAACAUCAUUGGUAAACAUAGGAGUGAUUCAAGAUAAAUAUCUACAUUACCCUUAUUACAUUCACCACCAUGUUACUCUGGAAUGAAGAAACAAAGAGUACAAAAGUGCCAAUCUGCAUGUACAGCAAUUUUUCCAGUGACCCAAGAGAAGGGAUCACAGAUCCCAAUGAGAAGUGGACAGCAUGCCCCACAGUGUUUUUAGGAAGUCAGACAUAAACCCCACAAAACAGGAACAGUGAGAAAAGAGAGAAACAAGAGACACCAGUGUGCUAUAGCCUUCAUGUGGCACAGGAUAUUUUGAGCAUGUUUCUCAAGGAGAGUCAUAAUUGGUGAGUUCCAGGAAGCAAACACAUUUUACAUGGAAUCACACUGUAUAUGAGAAUGGGUCACUGGAAUAUCUCAUCAUCCUUGUAGGAAAUUGGAGCCAGCAGACCUGUAAACUGCCACAUCUACCUGUCCCCAGGAAGUUGUCACCAUGAGGUGGUUUUAUGAAGUGAUGCAAGAUUAAUAAAUAUAUACAUUACUAUAAGCUCAUACUAGCAAUUUGUUUUAUUCAUAUGUGAAGCAGUUUUUGUAGUUCUUUUCCUCCUCUAAGCUCUUUAGAGGAAGAGAAAGAGAACUACAAACUGUUUCAUGGAUGUCUAUACCAAAUUUUUGGUAUGAGCAAAUUAGAUAUGUAUGCAAAAAUGUAUGUCAAGGCAAUGUAAAAUUAUUAGAAUUCACUGCAGUUAAACUUGAAAUUCUAGUAGUUCACUAAUAACUCCAUCUUUAUUCCUGAUGGAAGGUAAAUAACAUUGGUCAAUUUAUAUAAAACCAUAUUUUAGAAUGUUUUCUCAAUAAUAGAUAAUAAUAUGGCAGAUGAGUCUUAAUAAAUAAUAGAAUUACUGAGAAAUGGUAAGUUUCAGAGAAAAGUAAAGUAUUCCAUUGAUCCAAUAGUGUACAUUUUCCUUUCUUUCCAAUAAAGAUACAUCUUGAAAUUGACAGUGUAGGAACACUGUUGGCUAGAAAGCUUAUGGUGAUUGUGAUAGUGCUCAGAUGCACAUACAUAAAUUUAGUCUAAAAAUCUUGUUUGUUAAAAAUUAAAUUAUAAAUCAUGUUAACUUAUGACUACACACACACACACACACACAAAUCUCUUCUGUUGUCACCUUCUGGUGACUGUAACUUUAAAACAUGUAGAAACAGUGUCCAUAGAGUAGAAAGAAUUUUGGAGAAUAUAGCAUAAGUCUCUCAAGAAUAGGCUUGGGAGGCUGAGACAGGAGGAUUAUGAGUUCAAAGCCAGCCUCAGCAAAAGUGAGGCACUAAGCAAGUCAGUGAAACCCUGUCUCUAAAUGAUAUAUAAAACAAGGCUAGGGAUGUGGCUCGGUAUUUAAGUGUCCCUGGGUUCAAUCCCUGGUAUCCAAAAAAAAAAAAAAAAAAGCCCAAUCACCUGUGCUUCUGAUUAAUAGAGAUAAUGGUUAAGACAGGAAUUGUCAUGGGAAAGAUGAGUCAAAAUGUGGUUCAUGAGAGUUUCAUCUCAAUGAGGAAUAUUAGAAUACCUUUAUUAAUAUUAUAUAUAAUAAUAUGUCUUUCUGUUUUUCAUGCAAUCAUAGGAGAUACAAAAGAUAAAUAACUACGUUAUUAUAAGCUCAAACUGGUUAUUUUGAAUAAAUUUUAGAUAAAAAUUCUAAGUUACCUUGGCAAUGUGGUGCAUGUCUGUAAUUUCAGCAACUUGGGAAACUGAGAUACAAUCAUAUGUUUAAGGCCAGCCUGAGCAAUUUAAACGCUAUCUCAACAUAAAAAAUAGAAAAGGACUGGGAUUAUAAUUCAGUAUUAGAGUACCUUCUGCAUGUUUACUGAAAAAAAAAGUUAUAAAAGUUACCUGUCUGGUUUUAAAAGUUUUAUUCUUUCAUUGUUAAUGAAAUGCAUUUUUACAUUUGAUACAAAUGAUAUAUAUUGCAGUUAGAAAAAACUGUCACUAUGUCAUGCAAUCUAAUUCUAAAUGUCAGCAAAAGCCCCACAAGAAAGAAAAGGGAGACUCUUGAGAUUAAUUCAUUCUUUGUCUAUUUUUGCUCACUUUGACUAUGUUAGAUAAUUUUUCUUUUAUAUGGAUACUUCCUCCUAGAUUUAGCUUAAUAAUUAUUACCCACAAAGUCAUAAUUACUACCACAAAGUCAUGAAUUUAUUUUGCUAAAUUUUAUACUAAAUGAUGCAUUGAACUGUUUUUACAUUUAGGUAUAGGUCUCUGAUCCACCUAGAAAUUAUGUUCUCUGAUUUAUGAAUUUGGAGGGGUUUUUGUUUUUGUUUUUUUCUUUUUCUUUUUCCUGAUCGAUUAUCAAUACCUUAUGUUAUGCUUUGAAAAUUAAUUAAUAUUAAUGGUAAUAAUUAUUGAGUUAAUAAUAAAUGAAUAAUAGUAUUUCUUGAGAUUACUUUCUUUACAUGUUCAUAUAUCAGUUUUGAGCAUUCUUUUUAAAAGUUGUUGAUUAUAUUUGUGAAUAAUAACUAUCUUUUACUAAGCAAUUUAUUUAACACAACAAUUUUCUUUCCAGUGCUUAUUAUAUUAAGCACCGUGUAACUCUGGAAUGAAGGAACAAAGAGUACACAACUGCCACUCUGCAUUUACAAUAAUUGUUCCAGCAAUCCAAGAGAAGGGAUCACAGUUUUUCUUCCAGGGCUUAUUAUAUUAACCACCAUGUUACUCUGGAAUGAAGAAAGAAAUAGUACAAAACUGCCACUCUGCAUCUGCAGCAAUUUUUCCAGCAACCUAAGAGAAGGGAUCACAGCUCCCAGUGAGAAGAGGGCAACAUGCACCUCAGAGUUUAUGGGAAAUCAAGAAGUGAGACAAAACCCAUAAAACAGGAGCAGUGAGAAAACAGAGAAAUAGGAGAUACAGAGCUUAUUAUAUUAAGCACUAUGUUACCUAGAAUGAAGAAACAAAAAGUACAAAACUCCCACUCUGCAUCUCCAGCAAUUUUUCCAGUGACCCAAGAGAAGGGAUCACAGAGCUUAUUACAUUAACCACCAUGUUACUCUGAAUGAAGAAACAAAGAGUACAAAAUGUCCAAUCUGCAUGUUCAGCAAUUUUUCCAGUGACCCAAGAGAAGGGAUCACAGGUAAAUGACAAAGGUCAGGUGGGCAGGAUCAGGCAUGCCAGAAUCUCACUAAGUUAUUCAGGACUUCCCUAAAGUGCUGAGACUGGCUUUGAACUUGUGAUCUUCUUCCCUCAUCUUCCUGAGACCCUGGUAUUACAGGUUUUUGGUCACAGUGAUGCAAAAGCUUAUCGAAAUGAUGAGAUGCUUCUUUAUCCUGGUGGAUGUCCUCAUGCCACUAUGUCUCACCCAUGUCAAGAUUCAUUCACGUAGAAGGUAAACAGAGUUGGUCUGUUUAUAUGAAACCAUAUUUUAAGCCUCUCAAGAAAUCCCCAAUCACAGAUUCUUCUGAUUAACAGAGAUAAUGCUUAUUAUAUUAAGCACCAUGUUACUCUGGAAUGAAGAAACAAAGAGUACAAAACUGCCACUCUGCAUGUACAUCAAUUUUUCCAGCGACCUAAGAGAAGAGAUCACAGUGUUUACAGCCAGAGGAUUCAGCCCUGGGUAUCUCUGCACAAGCUCAGAGGAUUCCACAUACACAGUCCUUCUCCUCCAUACCAUGUCCACCCAGGUUGGGUCCACAGUGGAAACUGAUAAUAAAUUGGCUGAAUUCAACAAUGAAAUUCACCUCACUCGGUAAAUGUCUACAUGCCAUCUUCUUGUGCAGAUUGUGCACGACUGUGUGUGUAUAUACAUAUAUUUUUUUUCUAGCUUAAUUUCAUUGUGUUUUAAAAGUGCACAUUGAUUAAUGAUUUAUAUUUUUUACUUUUUAUAUUUUUUUAUUUGUUCUUUAUAUUUAC